This 821-nucleotide ribosomal RNA is filed under the name uncultured marine archaeon. Its description in RNAcentral is "bacterial SSU rRNA". It matches the Rfam family "Archaeal small subunit ribosomal RNA", at positions 21 to 848 of the family's 1478-position model. The record is from RNAcentral.
ACUGACUGCUAUCGGAUUGGUACUAAGCCAUGUGAGUCGUUGUAGCAAUACAAGGCAUACGGCUCAGUAACACGUAGUCAAUCUAACCUAUGGACGGGGAUAACCUCGGGAAACUGAGGAUAAACCCCGAUAGAUCAUUAUGCCUGGAACGGUUUAUGGUCUAAAUGAUUCGUCGCCGUAGGGUGGGACUGCGGCCUAUCAGCUUGUUGGUGAGGUAAUGGCCCACCAAGGCUAUUACAGGUACGGGCUCUGAGAGGAGAAGCCCGGAGAUGGGUACUGAGACACGGACCCAGGCCCUAUGGGGCGCAGCAGGCGAGAAACCUUUGCAAUGUGCGCAAGCACGACAAGGUUAAUCCGAGUGUUUCCUGCUAAAGGAAUCUUUUGUUAGUUGUAAAACCACUGAUGAAUAAGGGGUGGGCAAGUUCUGGUGUCAGCCGCCGCGGUAAAACCAGCACCUCAAGUGGUCAGGAUGAUUAUUGGGCCUAAAGCAUCCGUAGCCUGUUCUAUAAGUUUCCGGUUAAAUCCAUUAGCUCAACUAAUGGGCUGCCGAAAAUACUGUAGAACUAGGGAGUGGGAGAGGUAGACGGUACUCGUAGGAAGGGGUAAAAUCCUUUUGAUCUAUUGAUGACCACCUGUGGCGAAGGCGGUCUACCAGAACACGUUCGACGGUGAGGGAUGAAAGCUGGGGGGAGCAAACCGGAUUAGAUACCCGGGUAGUCCCAGCUGUAAACGAUGCAGACUCGGUGAUGCCCUGGCUUGUGGCCAGUGCAGUGCCCCAGGGAAGCCGUUAAGUUUGCCGCCUGGGAAGUACGUACGCAAGU